Antechinus flavipes (yellow-footed antechinus) is the source of this 608-nucleotide long non-coding RNA. RefSeq lists it as uncharacterized. The transcript has 4 exons. The record is from RefSeq and is a predicted model, not a curated record. Lineage: Eukaryota; Metazoa; Chordata; Mammalia; Dasyuromorphia; Dasyuridae.
AGUUGUGCCAGCAUCCUUCUCUUCUUGGUCUUGCUAAGCUAUUAUCUCCAUCAUAUCAGCGAGUAUCACAUCGUAUCAAGAGGAAGGGAUAAACCUCCUAAAGUUAAGGGAAGAUUGAGGACCCAGGAUGCCAGUCUCGACAUCCUCCUUCCAUUCACCCUAGAACAUCCAAUGAAGAAGCCACAUAUGAAGAAGUGAGCAUGAUGGGACAGCAUGAGUCACGUGAAGUAACAUAUAUGCAACCAAAAAUAUUUGCUUCAAUUGAAAAGCAGAGGACCACCAUUAAAAGAAUUCCAGAGACCUCCCUUUAUACCAAGAUAAAAAAGCCUUAACAAUGAAGCAGAGAAUGCUCACUCUCAUGGAGAGAUUGAAGAGAAAUUUUAGAAAAGCAAAAAACCCCCAAGAAUUUGGGUCAAAGAAGGAGCUGAAAGUGUCAGCCUUUGAAAUUUGAAUGGGGAGGAGCACUGGCACCUCUGAGCACUCAAAGACUUGCAGCUGCUCCUUUAUCUCCAUGGAAACAUCUGGGAUGUAGAUCCCUUUCUAGACUUUGGUCUAUAUGCAUCUACCCUAUGGCUCUCGCUGUACCACCAAUGGCUUAUAAAGAACUA